CUCCCUGAUGUUAGCGGCGGACGGGUGAGUAACACGUGGGUAACCUGCCUGUAAGACUGGGAUAACUCCGGGAAACCGGGGCUAAUACCGGAUGGUUGUUUGAACCGCAUGGUUCAAACAUAAAAGGUGGCUUCGGCUACCACUUACAGAUGGACCCGCGGCGCAUUAGCUAGUUGGUGAGGUAACGGCUCACCAAGGCAACGAUGCGUAGCCGACCUGAGAGGGUGAUCGGCCACACUGGGACUGAGACACGGCCCAGACUCCUACGGGAGGCAGCAGUAGGGAAUCUUCCGCAAUGGACGAAAGUCUGACGGAGCAACGCCGCGUGAGUGAUGAAGGUUUUCGGAUCGUAAAGCUCUGUUGUUAGGGAAGAACAAGUACCGUUCGAAUAGGGCGGUACCUUGACGGUACCUAACCAGAAAGCCACGGCUAACUACGUGCCAGCAGCCGCGGUAAUACGUAGGUGGCAAGCGUUGUCCGGAAUUAUUGGGCGUAAAGGGCUCGCAGGCGGUUUCUUAAGUCUGAUGUGAAAGCCCCCGGCUCAACCGGGGAGGGUCAUUGGAAACUGGGGAACUUGAGUGCAGAAGAGGAGAGUGGAAUUCCACGUGUAGCGGUGAAAU
Molecule: ribosomal RNA, 620 nt
Filed under: Bacillus tequilensis
Lineage: Bacteria; Bacillati; Bacillota; Bacilli; Caryophanales; Bacillaceae
Description: bacterial SSU rRNA
Rfam family: Bacterial small subunit ribosomal RNA
Source: RNAcentral